CCUCAACGUCAUCUUCAACAACAAUGGCCACAUCCAUGGCUUCAGUUAAGUCUAUCACAAAAGUCCCUUCUAGACCCUCUUCUUGAUAGAACUCCCCUUCAUAUGUGUCAGUGUCAAGGUUGUAAUCUUCCUUGUUUGGUACCGGUAGUCCACCGUGCGGCGAUACCUUGUGCACAACAUCCCAACCCUUAAGACGUGCAUCGAUUUAGCACGGUUACGACAUAUAAUAAACUUGUGUGGUCUAUUGGGCCACAAUGUAUACAUCAUCUCCUGGUAAGACGGAAUCCGAUCGAAUUUCAACUAGCCCAAGAUUAGGCGUCCAUCUUGUUAGUUCAGGGUCAAACCAAAGGCAUUUGAAUAUGACAGAUUUAAUAUCUAUGCAACCAUGAAACGUGAGUUCGUAUAUGUCUUCAAUUCUUCCAUAAUGGUACAUCCCAUUUUGGCCGUGCGUGAAAACUCCGGUCUUUGUGGUUUUCUGGUUAGGACGACUUUGCUCGUGCCUUGUUGUGUGGAAGAGAUAUGCAUUCACGUUAUAACCGGCAUAUGACAUGACCCUAUGUGCACAACCAUGGGCAACCUGUCUCAACUCGAUCCAAGACAAAAUUUUGGCAACACCUCCCCGCUGUUCUCCAAAUACAUGUCCCGGCGGGAGGUUGUGUAUCCAGAGAACAACAGGGAGGUGAUGCCGAAACUCUAUCUCGAAUCGGAGUGGACCU
RNAcentral lists this long non-coding RNA (716 nucleotides) under Sorghum bicolor (sorghum). RNAcentral's name for it is "long non-coding RNA (SBIC_LNC011588)". Lineage: Eukaryota; Viridiplantae; Streptophyta; Magnoliopsida; Poales; Poaceae. The record is from RNAcentral.